Molecule: ribosomal RNA, 508 nt
Filed under: uncultured Glomus
Lineage: Eukaryota; Fungi; Glomeromycota; Glomeromycetes; Glomerales; Glomeraceae
Description: SSU rRNA
Rfam family: Eukaryotic small subunit ribosomal RNA
Source: RNAcentral
AGCAGCCGCGGUAAUUCCAGCUCCAAUAGCGUAUAUUAAAGUUGUUGCAGUUAAAAAGCUCGUAGUUGAAUUUCGGGGUCAGCAGGUUGGUCGUGCCAAUGGUAUGAACUGGCCUUGCUGAUUCCUCCCUCUUGAUGAGCCGUAAUGCCAUUAAUUUGGUGUUGCGGGGAAUCAGGACUGUUACUUUGAAAAAAUUAGAGUGUUUAAAGCAGGCAAGCGCUUGAAUACAUUAGCAUGGAAUAAUGAAAUAGGACGUUUGAUCCUAUUUUGUUGGUUUCUAGGAUUGACGUAAUGAUUAAUAGGGAUAGUUGGGGGCAUUAGUAUUCAAUUGUCAGAGGUGAAAUUCUUGGAUUUAUUGAAGACUGACUACUGCGAAAGCAUUUGCCAAGGAUGUUUUCAUUAAUCAAGAACGAAAGUUAGGGGAUCGAAGACGAUCAGAUACCGUCGUAGUCUUAACCAUAAACUAUGCCGACUAGGGAUCGGAUGAUGUUAAUUUUUUAAUGACUCA